Molecule: ribosomal RNA, 369 nt
Filed under: uncultured bacterium
Lineage: Bacteria
Description: bacterial SSU rRNA
Rfam family: Bacterial small subunit ribosomal RNA
Source: RNAcentral
ACGAACGCUGGCGGCGUGCUUAACACAUGCAAGUCGAGCGGUAAGGCCCUUUCGGGGGUACGACGAGCGGCGAACGGGUGAGUAACACGUGGGUGACCUGCCCUCAGCUCUGGGAUAAGCCUGGGAAACCGGGUCUAAUACCGGAUAUGACUCCAUGACGCAUGUUGUGGGGUGGAAAGCCUUGUGCGGCUGAGGAUGGGCCCGCGGCCUAUCAGCUUGUUGGUGGGGUGAUGGCCUACCAAGGCGACGACGGGUAGCCGGCCUGAGAGGGCGACCGGCCACACUGGGACUGAGACACGGCCCAGACUCCGUACGGGAGGCAGCAGGUGGGGAAUCUUGCGCAAUGGGCGAAAGCCUGACGCAGCGACG